This 414-nucleotide long non-coding RNA is filed under the name Oreochromis niloticus (Nile tilapia). Its description in RNAcentral is "lncRNA (ENSONIG00000028650.1)". Lineage: Eukaryota; Metazoa; Chordata; Actinopteri; Cichliformes; Cichlidae. The record is from RNAcentral.
AUGAAGCUCUCAUCUGCUGUGAAAGUUCUGGGAUCUCUCUGUCUGCUGCUCAUAGAUGGAUUUCCAGUUUCUGAAGAUGAAUCUCCAGAGAUAAUUGGACCAGGCUUUGUCCAAAUAAAAACUCAUCCAGGUGCACCACUGGUGCUUCACUGUGAUGCGUUUGCAAACUGUGAGGACGAUAUGACUCUUAUCUACUGGCUUGUCAAUGACACCUUCCCCGAAGAUGCCCCCAGCAGCGACAGGAUAACAGAAUCUAAUGAAUCUACUCUAGAGGAGGGUGCAAUCCUUCAGAGGAGUUUGCUGUUGAAGAACAUCACAUCCGAGGACCUCAAAUCCACCUUCACAUGUGUUGUGACAAAUGCUGUGGGAAUGGCCCAAAAACACAUUAAAUUAAUAGCAACAAGUGAAGACUGA